Nylanderia fulva is the source of this 306-nucleotide long non-coding RNA. RefSeq lists it as uncharacterized. NCBI's taxonomy places the organism in Eukaryota, Metazoa, Arthropoda, Insecta, Hymenoptera, Formicidae. The record is from RefSeq and is a predicted model, not a curated record.
CACCAGUCGAUAAUUAAAAAUGAUCAGUAUGCUAGUCAUGAUUGGUGGUGGUACAACAAAAGAUGCACUAAAAAGAGCGUUGUAAAAAUUAUAUUCAAAUAAUCUUGCUUCCCAAUGCUCUUGGACCGGAGUUAAAGACAAUUUUAAGUUAAAAGACUUAAAAAUUAUUACUUGUAUGAAAACUGCCAUUCAGAAAACCUGUCCUACUACUACGGAAGCAGAAUUUGAAGAUAUCUUAAAAACCUGGUUUAAACAAGCAAGUUUAUGAUUAAUCCGCGAAAAAGCGAAAAAUGCGACGCAAAACUA